GGUUUCCAAGCCCAAAUGCUUCUGAGAAGUUCCUCCUUGCCACAUGCCCUGGGUCUGGCUGAUCCUCCUGCAUGGAGCAGAGAGGCAUUCUGCUGUGUGCUUUGGCAAGCAUCCCCCUGAUAAAACCCAGCACUUGAUUGCAAGUUUGGAUCACUGAGGGGAGGCUGUGCUGAAUUCAUUUCAGUCUGUGGAGGAAAAUUCAGGAAGCUGAGGGCACCUUUGUAAGCAGAACCAAUUCCUUCAUCCCAGCUGCAGGAAGAGGCUUGUGCUGAACUUGGUGACAAUGAUUUAAUAUUUUGGGGCCUGGAAGGCUCAGCUGGAAUCACACAGUGCUUGUUGCACAAGAACAGCCCUUCACCUGAAAGUUUGCAAUCGUGGGCCCCAGCUCUGCAGGAAAUCAGUGCUUUUCUUAUUUUCAUGAACCUGCCCACAAUUAAACAUGCAUAAAUAUCUGCAGGAUUGAGAUGCAAAUGUACAGAACAGGCAGGAGAAUGAAGGAGGGGGAGAGUUACCCUGAUUUCAGAGCUGCCCUGCUCUGCUGGCUCUGAGCUUAUCUGUGCUCUGGGCCAGCAUAAAUCACUCCUGAUCUGGCUCAGAUGCGUCCUGCUGGGCAAGCAGCAGAGCACAGACCCACGAUUGAUGAUCAGCAAGGCAGAGACCUGGGCCCCUCUGCCAGGAGAAGAUGAAGCAUCCUCUGGGGAGCUCUGAGAGUCUGACAACCCUGGGAGCCUCUGCAGCAAGCUUGGAGCAGACAGCUGGGUCUGGAUAGCUGGAGCUUGGGCAGAUGAAUUUCCCUCCUGAGAAGAGUGAGAAGUUCCACCUGAUAAUUCACCCCUGGCACAGCAGGGUGACACCAAACCCUUUCAUUCUGAGAUUCAUAGAAUCAUGGAAUAUCCUGAGCUGGAAGGGACCCACAGGGAUCACCCAGUCCAACCCCAAAAUCCCACCCUGGGCAUCCCUGGAGUGGUUCCAAACCCUCCUGGAGCUCUGCCAGCCCCAGGGCUGUGCCUAUUCCCUCUUUAGGAUCCUUAAACCAUUUUUGCAGCUGGCAGGAGAAAUAAACCCUUUAAGAAAGGUAAAAUUUGGUGCCUUCAUGCAGUAUUUUUCCCACAAUCUCCCUGCAUGGCUCUGUGCAGAGCCCGUGGGUGUGCACAAGGAAAGAGCUGGGACACAAUGAUGGACCAGGACUGCCUUGGCACCAUGAGAUGUUUGAGGUGUGACAGGCACCCCCAGGGUGGGCAGCCACUCACCAGGGGCAAGCUCAGCUCUGGGUCCUAUUUUGGGGUGGUUUUGGGGUGAUUUUUGCCCCUGUGCCUCGUGCUGGUGAAGCUCUGAUCAGUGGCUGCUGUAGGAAUUGUGCCUUCUGAAGGUCACUGCUGGAUCUGCUGGAGAUGUCCCUUGCAAAAUGUAACACCAACAACUGCAGAGAGGGGGAAACGAGGGAAAAAGACCUGUGGAGCUUGCACUGGCACAGGGAGCAGCAGGGCCCAGUGUUAUUAUUAGCCAGCAGAGUGCUUGGCCGUUAUCUGCCCUGACAGCUCCAGAGCUCCAGGCUGCCCCUCCAAACGCUGCUGCUGAUGUGCUGCUGAUGUUAAACAGCCACACUGCAAUUCUUUGGCAGCAGUACAACUGCCCCCUGUGCCCUCUGGCCGUGUGGCUUCCAUGGAAAUGCUCCACCAAGAGCAGGGAGCUCCAGGAAGGUGUGGGAGAUGUGACUCCAGUUCUCUUUCACUGGAGCUCCCAUCACGGAUCCAGGAAGGUGUGGGAGAUGUGACUCCAGUU
This 1782-nucleotide long non-coding RNA is filed under the name Zonotrichia albicollis (white-throated sparrow). RNAcentral describes it as "lncRNA (ENSZALG00000011889.1)". Lineage: Eukaryota; Metazoa; Chordata; Aves; Passeriformes; Passerellidae. The record is from RNAcentral.